GGUAAGUUAAAAGCCUAAUUAGACUGUUAGAAGGUUAGAAUGUUAGCAUAAGAUAAACAUUAAUAAGUUAGAACAGAUAGUUAUCAUGUUUUCCAAAUAAUUAUAAGUCUUAAUAGUAAUUAAAGUUUCAGUUUUUAAAUUUUCGCACAGUGAAAUUACGCUUUUUUAAAAUCUCUAAACAGUAAAACGAAAUCCUUAAGUUGAGUUAUGGCGGAGUGUAGUUUUUUUUGACUGCACUAAUAGUUCGUAAACACCACACAGGAAGUAGGAAAAGAACUACAUUUCCUAUCUGCCCUGGCUGUCACAGGCUAAUAGCACCAGCUGCUUUCCAUUGCCCUAAGGAGUGAUUGCUGCGACAAGACCAAAUUCAACGAAAGUAUUGAUGCUGCAAAAGAAGACGGAUCUUUUGGUAGGCUGCUUAAUGAUGACCACAAGCACCCAAAUUGCAGAAUGCAGAAGACUGAAGUGGAUGGAAGCCCACAUCUUGGUCUGUUUGCUUUAACAGACUUUAAAGAAGGUGAUGAAAUUACCUACAAUUACGGAGGAGGAGACUGGCCUUGGUGUAGCAAGAUUUUCCAAAUGUCUAUUAAAUAUGCAGAUUAUGGAGGAGGACACUGCUGAGAGCAAUGGCCAGGAGAAACAGCAGCCAUCACAGUCUGCACCUUUUCUGGAUCAUAAAUAUCAGAAUUGUGUAGUUUGCUGGCACUUUUAAUCCUGCCUUUCAAUCACACCUCUCCAUAAUUUCCAACAAAAGCAUCCCCUGGGACUUAGUAGGUUCCCUACUGCAUCUUCUCCAAGAAAACUGAGUACUCUUAGUUACUAUUUGGUACAUAUGCACAAACUGCAGUCAGAGUUUUCAUUCUUGAGACGUGAAAUCUAAGUUCCAGUCUGUAAGUUGCCGGACAGUAAUUUCUGUUGGGUGUAAGGGUGUGUGUUUGCUAUGUAACUAAUGUUUAUUCUUACAUUUAGGUAAAACAUCUACUCUGAAAAAGAGGAAGGCUCGGGAAGGAAAUGAGGUCCAUGCAGUGGAGAGACAAAUGAAGACCUUCAUCAUGUCAUGUCGUGACCCAGGGAAGUUGGUUGAGUUGGUGUUUUCUCACAGAGGAAAGCUGUAGAGUUCUGUCCUCAGUUCUCAGAUCAAACUCCUCCAGACUGAGACACCUGAACCUGAGUAUCAAUAACCUGCAGGAUUCAGGAGUGAAGUUGCUCUCUGCUGGACUGGAGAAUCCACACUGUACACUGGAGACACUGAGAAUAAACGGUGAGGAAGUGAAAGUGAAAGUCAGUCUCCAUUUUGUGUCGAGGGGAAAAUACAGCAUUUCAGGAGUAAAAACACAGGUUUGAUUUAACACACCGAUGUUGGAGUGAAGUAAACGUGUGUCCUGCUGUAAUCUGGAGAAGGAGACAUGACCUCCAACAUGAGUGUGUCUGGAGAACAGGACUUAAAGAGAGACGAGAGAAUGAUGGAGGGAAAGAGAUCAGACUCACCAGAACCCAGCUGUGUGUCCAUGAAGAGUGACCGGUCAAUGGAGCAUCCAUUUCACUUCAGAGACGGAGCCAGUUCUCCUGAUGUGAGACCACAGCAGAAGAAAUCAAACCUCAGCAGAAAUCAGCUGGACUCCAUAUUCAAGGAGCUGGAACACAAAGUCAUCACCCUGAUAAAGAAUGAGCUGAAGAGGUUUAGGAAGCUCCUGAGUCCAGAUUACCCAGCAUGCACUGAGAGGGAGGUGCAGGAUGAGGAGGAUCUGCACAGUGUCAGAGACGGAGCGCUGAAGAUCACACUGCACGUCCUGAAGAACAUGAACCACACAGAUCUCGCUAACACACUGCACAGCAAACUCGCCUCUGUGUAUCAGCCAAAGCUGAAAUCCAGCCUGAGAGAGAAGUUUAAAAGAAUUAAUGAAGGAAUCUCACAGCAUGGAAGCUCAGCACUUCUGAAUGAGAUCUACACAGAGCUCUACAUCACAGAGGGUUGGAGUGGAGACGUCAAUAAUGAACAUGAGGUGAGACAGAUUGAGACAGCGUCCAGGAGACCAGCAGCACAGGAGACACCCAUCAAAUGUAAUGAUCUCUUUAAAGACAAGUCCAUCAGAAGUGUGCUGACUAAAGGAGUUGCUGGAAUUGGAAAAACAGUCUCCGUGCAGAAGUUCAUUCUGGACUGGACUGAAGGAAACGCAAAUCAGGACGUCUUCUUCAUGUUUCCACUUCCCUUUAGAGAGCUGAAUCUGAUGAAGCAGGAACAUCUCAGUCUGAUGGAUCUUCUUCAUCACUUUUUCCCUGAAAUGAGAAAACUACAGUUAAUAGACUCCUACAAAGUCCUGUUGAUCUUUGAUGGUCUGGAUGAGUGUCGACUUCCUCUAAAUUUCCAGAAGAAUGAGAGAUUGUGUGAUGUGACAGAGUCAGCCUCAGUGGAUGUGCUGCUGACGAACCUCAUCAAGGGGAAUCUGCUUCCCUCUGCUCUCCUCUGGAUAACCUCUCGACCAGCAGCAGCCAAUCAGAUCCUUCGUGAGUGUGUAGACCAGGUAACAGAGGUACGAGGGUUCAGUGAUCCUCAGAAAGAGGAGUACUUCAGGAAGAGGAUCAGAGAUCGGAGCCUGGCCAAUAAAAUCAUCUCACACAUGAAGUCUUCAAGAAGCCUCUACAUCAUGUGCCACAUCCCAGUCUUCUGCUGGAUCUCAGCCACUGUUCUAGAGAGAAUGUUGCGUGAAGCAGAGAGUGGACAGAUCCCCAAGACUCUGACUCAAAUGUUCACACACUUCCUGAUCUUUCAGAUCAAACACAAGGACCAAAAGUACCAUCAGAAGUGUGACCCUGAUCCUCAGCAGACCAGAGCGAGUAUCCUGGCACUGGGAAAACUGGCUUUCCAACAGCUGGAGAAAGGAAACCUGAUCUUCUAUGAGGAAGACCUGAGAGAGUGUGGCAUUGAUGUGAGAGAAGUGUCAGUGUACUCAGGAGUGUGUACCCAAAUCUUCAGAGAGGAGUUUGGGCUUCACCUGGGGAAGGUGUUCAGCUUUGUACAUCUGAGUGUUCAGGAGUUUCUGGCUGCUUUAUACACAUUUCUCUCCUUCAUCAGCAGAAAUGUAACAGAACAACCAACCACUGAUCUGUCUGAUCUUCUCAACAAGUCAGACAUGUCUGAUCUCCUCAGGACUGCAGUGGACAAGGCCUUACAGAGUGAGAACGGACACCUGGACCUGUUCCUCCGCUUCCUUCUGGGUCUCUCACUGGAGUCCAAUCAGACUCUCUUACGAGGCUUAAUGCCACAGACAGGAAGCAGCUCUCACAGCAAACAGGAAACAGUCGAGUACAUCAAGGAGAAGAUCAGGGAGAACCCAUCUCCAGAGAAAUCCAUCAAUCUGUUCCACUGUCUGAAUGAACUGGAUGAUCGUUCUCUAGUGCAGGAAGUACAACGUUACCUGAACAGAAGAGAUUACAGUCGUCUCAGUGGAAGCAGACUCUCUCCUGCUCAGUGGUCAGCUCUGGUGUUUGUGUUACUGAACUUGGAUCAGGAGCUGGAUGAGUUUAAUUUGUGGAAAUAUGACCCAUCAGAGGAAUGUCUUCUGAAGCUGCUGCCAGUGGUCAAAGCCUCCAGAAGAGCUGAGCUGUGUGAGUGUAAACUGACAGAGGAAAGCUGUAGAGUUCUGUCCUCAGUUCUCAGAUCAAACUCCUCCAGACUGAGAGAACUGGACCUGAGUAAGAAUAACCUGCAGGAUUCAGGAGUGAAGCUGCUCUCUGCUGGACUGGAGAAUCCACACUGUACACUGGAGAUACUGAGUCUGCGUGGGUGUAAUCUGACAGAGGAAAGCUGUAGAGUUCUGUCCUCAGUUCUCAGAUCAAACUCCUCCAGACUGAGAGAACUGGACCUGAGUCUCAAUAACCUGCAGGAUUCAGGAGUGAAGUUGCUCUCUGCUGGACUGGAGAAUCCACACUGUACACUGGAGACACUGAGUCUGUGGAGGUGUGAUCUGACAGAGGAAAGCUGUAGAGUUCUGUCCUCAGUUCUCAGAUCAAACUCCUCCAGACUGAGAGAACUGGACCUGAGUCGCAAUAACCUGCAGGAUUCAGGAGUGAAGCUGCUCUCUGCUGGACUGGAGAAUCCGCACUGUACACUGGAGACACUGAGGUACACACACACACACACACUGUACACUGGAGACACUGAGGUACACACACACACACACACACACACACACACACACACACACACACUGUACACUGGAGACACUGAGGUACACACACACACACACUGUACACUGGAGACACUGAGGUACACACACAUACACUCACACACACACUGUACACUGGAGAUACUGAGGUACACUCACACACACACACUGUACACUGGAGACACUGAGGUACACACACACACUCACACACACUGUACACUGGAGACACUGAGGUACUCACACACACUGUACACUGGAGAUACUGAGGUACACACACACACACACUGUACACUGGAGACACUGAGGUACACACACACAUACACACACACUCACACACACACUGUACACUGGAGAUACUGAGGUACACACACACAUACACACACACUCACACACACACACACACACUGUACACUGGAGACACUGAGGUACACACACACACACACUGUACACUGGAGACACUGAGGUACACACACACACACACACACACUGUACACUGGAGACAAUGAGGUACACACACACACACUGUACACUGGAGACACUGAGGUACACACACUGUACACUGGAGAUACUGAGGUACACACACACACACACUGUACACUGGAGAUACUGAGGUACACACACACUGUACACUGGAGAUACUGAGGUACACACACACACACACUGUACACUGGAGAUACUGAGGUACACACACACACACACUGUACACUGGAGAUACUGAGGUACACACACACACACACUGUACACUGGAGAUACUGAGGUACACACACACACACACUGUACACUGGAGACACUGAGGUACACACACACACUGUACACUGGAGAUACUGAGGUACACACACACACUGUACACUGGAGACACUGAGGUACACACACUGUACACUGGAGAUACUGAGGUACACACACACUGUACACUGGAGAUACUGAGGUACACACACACACACACUGUACACUGGAGAUACUGAGGUACACACACACACACACUGUACACUGGAGAUACUGAGGUACACACACACACACACUGUACACUGGAGACACUGAGGUACACACACACUGUACACUGGAGAUACUGAGGUACACACACACACUGUACACUGGAGAUACUGAGGUACACACACACACACACACACUGUACACUGGAGACACUGAGGUACACACACACAUACACACACACUCACACACACACACACUGUACACUGGAGACACUGAGGUACACACACACACACACACACUGUACACUGGAGACACUGAGGUACACACACACUCACACACACACUGUACACUGGAGACACUGAGGUACACACACACACUCACACACACUGUACACUGGAGACACUGAGGUACUCACACACACUGUACACUGGAGAUACUGAGGUACACACACACACACACUGUACACUGGAGACACUGAGGUACACACACUGUACACUGGAGACACUGAGGUACACACACACACACACACACUGUACACUGGAGACACUGAGGUACACACACACACACACACACACACUGUACACUGGAGACACUGAGGUACACACACACACUGUACACUGGAGACACUGAGGUACACACACUGUACACUGGAGAUACUGAGGUACACACACACACACACACUGUACACUGGAGAUACUGAGGUACACACACACACACACUGUACACUGGAGAUACUGAGGUACACACACACACACACUGUACACUGGAGAUACUGAGGUACACACACACACACACUGUACACUGGAGACACUGAGGUACACACACACUGUACACUGGAGAUACUGAGGUACACACACACACACUGUACACUGGAGAUACUGAGGUACACACACACACACACACACUGUACACUGGAGACACUGAGGUACACACACACAUACACACACACUCACACACACACACACUGUACACUGGAGACACUGAGGUACACACACACACACACACUGUACACUGGAGACACUGAGGUACACACACACUCACACACACACUGUACACUGGAGAUACUGAGGUACACUCACACACACACACUGUACACUGGAGACACUGAGGUACACACACACACUCACACACACUGUACACUGGAGACACUGAGGUACUCACACACACUGUACACUGGAGAUACUGAGGUACACACACACACACUGUACACUGGAGACACUGAGGUACACACACACAUACACACACACUCACACACACACUGUACACUGGAGAUACUGAGGUACACUCACACACACACACUGUACACUGGAGACACUGAGGUACACACACACACUCACACACACACUGUACACUGGAGAUACUGAGGUACACACACUCACACACACACUGUACACUGGAGAUACUGAGGUACACACACACACACACACACACACACAGUACACUGGAGAUACUGAGGUACACACACACACACACACACACACAGUACACUGGAGAUACUGAGGUACACACACACACACACUGUACACUGGAGAUACUGAGGUACACACACACUCACACACACACUGUACACUGGAGAUACUGAGGUACACUCACACUGUACACUGGAGACACUGAGGUACACACACACACACACACACACUGACACUGUACAC
RNA transcript from Ictalurus furcatus (blue catfish), 6748 nucleotides. It is a transcript of the gene named NLR family CARD domain-containing protein 3-like, with no coding region annotated. Lineage: Eukaryota; Metazoa; Chordata; Actinopteri; Siluriformes; Ictaluridae. The record is from RefSeq and is a predicted model, not a curated record. The transcript is spliced from 18 exons.